RNAcentral lists this transfer RNA (76 nucleotides) under Aeromonas caviae. RNAcentral's name for it is "tRNA-Met". It matches the Rfam family "tRNA". From Rfam's summary of the family: Transfer RNA (tRNA) molecules are approximately 80 nucleotides in length. Their secondary structure includes four short double-helical elements and three loops (D, anti-codon, and T loops). The record is from RNAcentral. Lineage: Bacteria; Pseudomonadati; Pseudomonadota; Gammaproteobacteria; Aeromonadales; Aeromonadaceae. RNAcentral also lists the same sequence under 1 other name.
GCUAUGUAGCUCAGUUGGUUAGAGCAUCGCACUCAUAAUGCGGGGGUCACAGGUUCGAAUCCCGUCAUAGCCACCA